Molecule: ribosomal RNA, 253 nt
Filed under: uncultured bacterium
Lineage: Bacteria
Description: partial 16S ribosomal RNA
Rfam family: Bacterial small subunit ribosomal RNA
Source: RNAcentral
UACGAAGGGGGCUAGCGUUGUUCGGAAUUACUGGGCGUAAAGCGCACGUAGGCGGAUACUUAAGUCGGGGGUGAAAUCCUGGAGCUCAACUCCAGAACUGCCUUCGAUACUGGAAGACUUGAGUCCGGGAGAGGUGAGUGGAACUGCGAGUGUAGAGGUGAAAUUCGUAGAUAUUCGCAAGAACACCAGUGGCGAAGGCGGCUCACUGGCCCGGUACUGACGCUGAGGUGCGAAAGCGUGGGGAGCAAACAGG